Equus caballus (horse) is the source of this 1253-nucleotide long non-coding RNA. RefSeq lists it as uncharacterized. NCBI's taxonomy places the organism in Eukaryota, Metazoa, Chordata, Mammalia, Perissodactyla, Equidae. The record is from RefSeq and is a predicted model, not a curated record.
UCAGGCCAAUGUCAAGUAAACUACUACAGAAACACUGAUGGGCAAAGCUUUCCACAGACUCAGCUUGCGCCUAGAGGGAUCUAAUAUUUCUUAAUGAAGCCAAGUCAGAGUGAAAAGGAGAGGGUGGCAGCACUGGCUUCUCUGAACAUCACUGCAGUUUAUCUGGUCAACACUCCUUCACACACAAAACGAGGCACGUGCAGAAGCCACAGAGGGGCAGCUGUUUGCUCAAGGGAGCCCCAGAAUCCAGACGGAUCCCAUCGGAUCAUAGCUUACAGGUCUCAAAGGACCUCCCCACAGACGAUGCACUGAUUUCAGAAACAAAUAGUGAGUUCACAAUGGAGAACCAGGCAGACAACUGCUUACCCAGGUCACAGUUAUGUCACCACCAUCCGGAUUGUGACGUUCCAGCAUCAGCUGCCUCCUGAUGUGAUGGCACCAGGACAGCAGCGUUUCUGCCAAAACCCAGAAGCCACAUCUAGUCACAAAGCAACAUCAGACAAACAAAUGGAGCGACAUCUUAUAAAGGGGCAGCCUGGCUUUCUUCAAACACAUCCAGCGCGAGGAGGAGGAGAAGCUCCCUGGACUAACUCCAGUCUGCAGCUGGGGUUAAUAAUCCUGAGGUAGGGCUGUUACACCUUGGAAAAAUGAAGAGGAAGCAGUAUAUAGUAAGUAAAGAAAAAAUGAAGAAAGUCUUCAUGGGGAAAACCCGGAAAGUCAAAGGUGUUAGGUAGGACUAUAAGAGACUGAGAAUAUCUCCGUAUCUGCCUGAUGGCUUAAUUCUGAAGGGCCACCUCUUCUGGGAAGCCUUCCAUGCUUACCUCAUCUGAAAUAGCAAACUUCUCACUCCUCACCAACCCUACUUCCAUCGUUCUGCGUUCUGCUUGAGUUCCUUCCUCCUCCUCAUCACUAUCUGACAUUGGACGGUUGUCUUUGUUUGGUUACUGCUUUGUCUUCAGGUGGCUGGUGGUGAAUCUUUCCCAGAAGAUAGACUACAAGAUGGAAGGAAUGUAUCCUUUCGUCACUACUUAUCUCUAGAGUCUAGAGAAGAGCCUGAAACCUAGUAAUUCAAUGAAAUUAGGAACAAAUAACUGGUACAAGUCCAAAAAUACUUCUACAGAUUCAUCCCUACAAAUGAAUCCAUUUUCCAUAUAUUAACAAACAAAAGAAAGCAUAGAAAUUUCUCUUUUCUGCUAAAAAUACAUCUUUUAUUUAUAAAUACGCCAAGCCUCACGCCAAUUAUUUUUUAGUGU